AAAAUCAUACUUUUAUGGAUCACUCCUGUAGUUUACUAGAAAAAUUUCUCUGAACAAGAAAAGCACUGGAAAACCACAAAGAGAAGGCUCAGUGUUCCCUCUUGAACUUGAAGCGACAUCUUGGUUUUGUUUCGCUGCUACUGCCUUUUGCCAUUUUGAUGAUCGUUCUUCUUUUCCUUUGGGAGUAAGUGAGAGAGGACACAAUCUAAAUAAU
This 214-nucleotide small nucleolar RNA is filed under the name Carlito syrichta (Philippine tarsier). Its description in RNAcentral is "Small nucleolar RNA U3 (ENSTSYG00000024736.2)". It matches the Rfam family "Small nucleolar RNA U3". Rfam says of the family: Small nucleolar RNAs (snoRNAs) are involved in the processing and modification of rRNA in the nucleolus. There are two main classes of snoRNAs: the box C/D class, and the box H/ACA class. The record is from RNAcentral. Lineage: Eukaryota; Metazoa; Chordata; Mammalia; Primates; Tarsiidae.